This 274-nucleotide ribosomal RNA is filed under the name uncultured bacterium. RNAcentral describes it as "partial 16S ribosomal RNA". It matches the Rfam family "Bacterial small subunit ribosomal RNA", at positions 523 to 796 of the family's 1533-position model. The record is from RNAcentral.
AUACAGAGGGUGCAAGCGUUAAUCGGAUUUACUGGGCGUAAAGCGCGCGUAGGCGGCUAAUUAAGUCAAAUGUGAAAUCCCCGAGCUUAACUUGGGAAUUGCAUUCGAUACUGGUUAGCUAGAGUGUGGGAGAGGAUGGUAGAAUUCCAGGUGUAGCGGUGAAAUGCGUAGAGAUCUGGAGGAAUACCGAUGGCGAAGGCAGCCAUCUGGCCUAACACUGACGCUGAGGUGCGAAAGCAUGGGGAGCAAACAGUAUUAGAAACCCCAGUAGUCC